GGUAGAAUGCUUACUGGUUCAGCAUGCAA
RNAcentral lists this non-coding RNA (29 nucleotides) under Mus musculus (house mouse). Lineage: Eukaryota; Metazoa; Chordata; Mammalia; Rodentia; Muridae. The record is from RNAcentral.